Coffea arabica (coffee) is the source of this 1137-nucleotide non-coding RNA. NCBI's taxonomy places the organism in Eukaryota, Viridiplantae, Streptophyta, Magnoliopsida, Gentianales, Rubiaceae. The record is from RefSeq and is a predicted model, not a curated record.
AGCUACAAUCGAUUUCGGCCACAGUAGUCUAAAGUCUAAACUUUCCUCCUUCCUUCGAUUAGGUUAACUCCUCUCCGCCGACCGACUGUCCCAAACUCCCACUGCCAUCGCUGCUGCUGCUAGCUCCCUUUCCACUUCCUCCCACUUCGGCCACUGCCGUUGCUGCUACUGCUACUGCCAUUUCCUCCCACUUCCGCCACUUCAUCGCGGUGCAGUAGCUCCAUCUCCACCACUUCCGCCAGCUCCACUUCAGCAACCUCCAAGUCGCGCAAGAAUCUGAGUGCGCAACCCACUGACGAAGGCCGACUGACGGACGAGGAUCUGGAAGGCCAUCUCCGGGCUUUGUCUAAGCUUUUCCAGCGUCGCCAGUGUACCACCCGCUGAGCCCAUCUCCACCACUCCUUACCAUCAUCCUCAUAUCAGUCCACUGGAUUUUGUCCCUAGAUUUUGCAGCUUUUUGGUGCCAGCUCCAGCUCCAACUUGCUCAUUGUUGAUUGGAUAACUAGUGGCCGUUAUGGAAGAGGUGAAAAGUGGGACUUUGAACUUUAUAGGAGCACUAACAACAUUUUUCUAGAAGCUGAUGAGCCUUUGUUUCUUGACACGGUAUUGUCAUCCUCAAGCCAUGUUUUUUAACUAUGCUAGCAUCAUUGUAUACUAAGCAUGUGAUAUUGAAGAGAGUGGUGAAACUGAAGUAUUUUAAUCUUAUAAGAAAUUUUUAUUUUUUGAACUAUUGCUUGCAAUAGAUUCAUGUCAGUCUUGAAUAUCUUUAGAUUUUGAUGGAAUGUUGUAUUUCUUUUUUGUUUUAAUUGCUUUCGAGCUUUUGUGGGGCAGUCGGCAAAAUGGACAAUAGGAAAAACAAUGGAAUCCAGUUACCAUGUGCUUCUUUGCUGCUUUAGGUAUAAGUUCUUUUCCUGGCAGAAUGCAAUUCCAAUUCUUCUACAACUUCUUGCAUUAGUGAAAUGCUUGUUUAGCUGAAUUUUAUAUUGCUUGAUAGAGGUUUCAAAGUGUGGUUCUUUUGUUCUUAUGAUGGCAGAAACUGUUAAUUUGUAUUAGUGGAUAAUUUUGGAGAAUUUGUGUUAGUGGACAUUUGGAAAUUAUGAUUGUAUUAGUGCUGUUUCGUGCUUAAAUUUCCAGAAA